GACGAACGCUGGCGGCGUGCCUAACACAUGCAAGUCGAACGAUGAAGCCGAGCUUGCUAGGUGGAUUAGUGGCGAACGGGUGAGUAAUACGUGAGUAACCUACCUGUAACUCGGGGAUAAGUCCGGAAAACGGGGCCUAAUACCGGAUACGACCAAUCUCGGCAUGGGGUGUUGGUGGGACGCGUUACGUAGUGGUUAGAGAUGGGCUCACGGCCUAGCAGCUUGUUUGUGGGGUAACGGAGGACCAAGGCCACGACUGGUAGCCGGCCUGGGAGGGUGACCGGCCACACUAGGACUGAGCGACGGCGCAGCCUGCAACGGGAGGCAGCGGUGGGGAAUCUUAUACAGUGGGCGCGAGCCUGAUGCGGCGGCGCCGCGUGAGGGAUGCCGGCCUUCGGGUUGUAAACCUCUGUUAGCUGGGAAGAAGAGAUAUUGACGGUACCUGCAGAAAAAGCGCCGGCUAACUACGUG
RNAcentral lists this ribosomal RNA (471 nucleotides) under uncultured bacterium. RNAcentral describes it as "partial 16S ribosomal RNA". It matches the Rfam family "Bacterial small subunit ribosomal RNA", at positions 28 to 507 of the family's 1533-position model. The record is from RNAcentral.